Molecule: non-coding RNA, 285 nt
Organism: Phascolarctos cinereus (koala)
Lineage: Eukaryota; Metazoa; Chordata; Mammalia; Diprotodontia; Phascolarctidae
Source: RefSeq, a predicted model, not a curated record
UCAAUCUUUGGAGAUUUAAAGUGUUCACUCAGAUGCACAGAGACAUGGCAGUGCUUCAGCUCAAAUCAGCUCCUAUCCUCUCUGGAGAUCCUGCUGUCCUUGAGAUGGAGAAACUAAGUCCCAGAGAGGGAUAGUGAAUGCACAGCUGAACUAGCAGAAGAAACAGGCACCCAAUCUAGGCAGGAAAAACGUCUCCAAAGGUGGUCUUCUUGGAAAGUUUCACUAAAAGCCCUGCAGACAAUAUACACGAUGACAACAACAAUGCAAAUGGAAAAGACAACAGCC